RNAcentral lists this small RNA (94 nucleotides) under Cruoricaptor ignavus. Its description in RNAcentral is "Flavo-1 RNA". It matches the Rfam family "Flavo-1 RNA". The record is from Rfam by way of RNAcentral. Lineage: Bacteria; Pseudomonadati; Bacteroidota; Flavobacteriia; Flavobacteriales; Weeksellaceae.
UAUUAGCCCCGAUGGAAGCGGCUACCCCGCAGCGAAGCCGCGGAGCGAAGCGGAGCGGCAAAGCGAGGAGUAAUAGCGGACAGCGGGAAAUAGC